AUUUUGAAAACUUGGGACUCAGCAAGACCCUACAUCAAAAUUUUUAAAAUUAAUAAUAAUAGUAAGCGGGGGAGGCUGAGGAUAUAGCUCAGUGCAAAGGUCCUGGGUUCAGUCCUUAAUACUUGGGGGGAAAAAGUGAAGACUUGAAUACUCUAUUGUUCCGUGUAGCCUUCUAGGAACUCUCAAACCUCUAACUUCUUAGCCACCACAUAACUACAGAUGGAACAAAGGAUGAGAUUAAUGACUAAGAAGAAGCCAGGAAGCCAGGCCUGGUGGUGCACGCCUGUAAUCCAGCACUCGGGAGGCUGAGGCAGGAGGAUCGCUGUGAGUUCGAGGCCAGCAUGGGCUACACAGUGAGUUCCAGGUCAGUCUCAACUACAUAGUGAGACCCUGUCUCAAAAAACCAAAACCAAAAACAAAACAUUUUCUUUUUUUGCCACAAUAGAUGAACUAAUGAACUAAGUGGUUAAAGCCAAUGCAGGAUCCUGGACCAGAAAGAGAAUGUCGCUGUUUCACUGGCUGGGCAAAUAAACAGCAGCAAUUUUGCGAAAGCCAAAGGAAGACUGAAUUUCUCAGAACCCUAACGCACACAAGUGAACUUCAGGAAGUAUUGCAACUCUUCUUUUCUUUUUUUAGAAAGGGGUGGGCAGCCAAAGGAUCAAAGGAAACAUUCACCAACAGGACUGGGUUUCCUCCCCACACACUGGGGGCGUCGAUGUUACUCAAACAGUUCACAAAUGUCCUCCACAAAUAUACCAGGGCCGGUGCAUGUAGCUCAGGGGUAGAGGACUUUCUUUCCUCCUGCGAGACUCUGGGGUUUGACUCCUAGUACAGCAAAGAAAAAGUAAAAUAAAAACAAGUAAUGAACUUAGCAAACACACUAGGAUCCUAGCGAGCCGAAAUGACAUCAUCCAUUUCUAGAAGGUAACGACGUUCUAUGCAGUUGGUUUCUUGUGACAAAUGUACUAUAAUCGUUUUAAAAAUGACGUUAGGGG
This 995-nucleotide long non-coding RNA is filed under the name Fukomys damarensis (Damara mole-rat). RNAcentral's name for it is "lncRNA (ENSFDAG00000030591.1)". Lineage: Eukaryota; Metazoa; Chordata; Mammalia; Rodentia; Bathyergidae. The record is from RNAcentral.